Mauremys reevesii (Reeves's turtle) is the source of this 1071-nucleotide long non-coding RNA. RefSeq lists it as uncharacterized. The transcript is spliced from 3 exons. Lineage: Eukaryota; Metazoa; Chordata; Testudines; Geoemydidae. The record is from RefSeq and is a predicted model, not a curated record.
UGCUCAUGGGUCAAAGUAGGGAUGAUGGCAAGUGAAAGGAUUCAAUCCUCUUUUGUAGAUAAGGCUUAAGUUAAGUCUUGGAAUCUCUACUCCAUCAGAAAACAUUUCUCCAUCCAUGAGCAGGCAAGAAUCUAAAAUUAUCCGAUGGAAUUCAAGCUUGUUCACGUGUAGUGUAGGAAUACAAAUCUGAAUAUAGGAUUCAAAUGGAAAAAUUUUCAAAUGCAAAAUAAGCAGGCAAGAAUCUGAAAUCUUAUAAGACAAUGCAGGGGACUGAGCCCCACAAGAAGCCAAGAAGAAAUGAAAAUUACUCAUUCUUGGGGAAGGAGGAGAUUGCUGUGUGAUGAGAUUUGACAUAAAGUCUGACGAACCAUAGGGCAUGUUGCGGAAAACAUUCCUCCCUGAACCAGAAUGUUGUUUAGAACGUAAAAGAUAUCCCCAAGAGUGGGUUCCAUAGCCAGGGGAGAGGGCAGAAGUAUCCUCUUUUAAUUUUAAGGCCUUGAACAUCUUUGAAGUUGGAGCAACUGUGUUGAUUUACAUCAAGAGACAAUACAAUGUGUCUGCUCAAGUGUUAUUACGCACCACUGAGGUAAACCUUCAAAAAAAAAAGAAUUAAAGUGCAUGGCAAGAAUUUAGGUGGUUGACUGUUGUUCACUCUUACAUGAGAAGAUGUUUCACCACAAAGAUCCUCCAAAAACACAUCAAAAAAAAAAAGAAAAAAUCCAGAAUGAGCCUCUCUAAGAGUUAAUCUCAGCAAGGAGUGGAGAUUGCUGCUGACCACUUCAUGAACACAUCAGGGCAAAGAAUGAGGAGAAGAUUAAUUUCAUUGAGUUAUAUUGGUGAAAUGAAAUCAAAAAAUCUCAAAAUGAGGCGGAUCUAUUUCUGCCCCAUUGCUCUACAGCUCCACCAUUGCAAACUUGGUAUCUAACGUCAGAAUAACCACCAGCGUGGGGUGAGACUGCCAUAUCCCUCAACAGUUUGUCCUGAAUCUGGUAUUCUCAGCUGUGAGCCACUGAGGCCAGGUGACACUUACAAAAACCAGGGUCGCUGUCCUUCAAUGACUCACCCAGAUGC